Parcubacteria group bacterium CG2_30_36_38 is the source of this 73-nucleotide non-coding RNA. The record is from Rfam.
GCCUCCGUAGUCUAACGGAUAUGACGCCACGCUUCGGACGUGGAGACUGUAGGUUCGACUCCUGCCGGAGGCA